This 1957-nucleotide long non-coding RNA is filed under the name Heterocephalus glaber (naked mole-rat). RNAcentral describes it as "lncRNA (ENSHGLG00000036937.1)". Lineage: Eukaryota; Metazoa; Chordata; Mammalia; Rodentia; Bathyergidae. The record is from RNAcentral.
AAUUCCGGUUCUUGGAAAGAUGGGCUUGUUUCUGAGAUCUUUACCCAAGGAAAACUCCGUCUGUUUUUGCUGAAAUCUUUAGCACUUCGUGUUUGAUGAAGACAUCUGCUUCUGGUUUCAAAUAAUCUCAUUUGGGACACCUAGGGCCAAUGCUACGCCUCAGUCCCCUUCGGUCAACAACACCCACUCGACAACUCUCAAGCCAGUAGCUGUUUGUUUUCCUGCGGUGAAACACGCGGAUAACACAUCUUUUGAGUAAAACAAUGUCAUUGUGUAGCCACUGUCAUCCUUCGAUGGAUGAGGUCAAGACACUCCUCAAAAUCGCUCUCAGGGAUAAAUUUUGUUGGUGGUUGGGAAAGCGGAGUGGGGGAAUGUUUCGCGAUUGGGAAAACAGCUCAUUUUCCCGGUUGGGCGGGGGGGUGGCUUGGACGUGCUCCUAGUGCGACGACGCAGACAAGGCGCCCAUCCGAGCCGUCCGGUCCCUUUGUCCUACACCCCACCCUGGAGGUAUGAGGAUCCGCGCAAUGCGGUUCGGAGGCGGCCGCGGCGCCCCAGAGGUGAAAGCGGAGGCGCCAGGACGCCGGUGCCGGCCUCUCAGGAUGCUAGGCGGCCACACACGAGGCAGUGCCUAAGAGAAGAAGGGCUUGGUGUUGGGAAGAGAGUAAGAAUGUGAGAACCAGCAGUUCUGUGACACAUGACACGUGAUAAUGUGGAUUGGCUGGUCCCCAUUAUCUGCAGGAUCUGAUUUUCUUCGGGAUGAACAUAUUUUGGUCCCCAGGUUUCCAAGACAAGCACAUUCUUGCCAACAUGAUCCCUGAAUAAGCUGUUCUGAGAAAUUAGAAGAACAUGCAUCUAGGAGCUAGUAGUCUAAUUUCCUUCCUUUGAGCGAUCAAGCUGCAGCCACAGUCAUUGUGAUUCUGAAGACUAAACUUUAUAGUAUUGAGGAUCAAAGUUAGAACCCCGCACUUGUGAGGAAGGCCCAGUGCCACUGAGCUAAAUCCCCAGCCCCUGAAUUUAUGAUCUUGCCUCAGCCUCCCAAAGUGCUGGGAUUACAGAUGAGGAAACUGAGGCCCAGAGAGAUCACACAGCUACUAAGUCAAGGAGCUGGGACAGGCGUGGGUGCUGAAAAGUGAUUGAUACUGAUAGUAAAAUUGAGGAAGACAUGAUGUUUUUGUAAUUUGAGAAAAAUCACUGAAGAAUAAACUAUAUGAAGUCAUUGAUGCCAAAUUCCCAGCCCCAGCCUUUGCAGCUGCCCCGCCUGGGGUUCGUCUCUAUGGGAAGGAGUCUUUGCCGUGGACAGAGGCCGUGAUGACGAAGGUCAGGCUUAGAGAUCCAGGAAGUUGAGACAUGGAAAGCAGGAGUGGAGCAAGGAGAUUCUGGAAGAGCUGCUAUUUUAUUGCCUUGACGUGUGGAUGAACUGCUUAACCUCUCUACAAUGGGUGGCAAAAAUCAUGACAUUUCACACACUCCGCCCCAGUGGAACCCAUCUUCCUCUGCUGUCUAACUGAAGAACUAGCAAUGCCUUCCAAAGCUAAAGGAAACUCCAGCUCCAUGCAACAGAGAUAAAAGAAGCUGAAGGGAGUAGACAAAUAAAAAGGUAAACCCUUUUCCUUUUGUAUUAGGUUUUGUAGAAAUGAUUUUGAAGAUUUUUUUUUUUUUGCUUCUCUUUGCUCUAUACUUUGUAUAGUCAAAGCCAAGCCAUGUUUGAAAUGUUCCCUAGAAACACACGCAUGUGACUAAAAUAGAUUCCCUGCAGAUUUACCUAAUUUUAGUGAGGGCCUGUUACAUACAAUGAACUCUGCUGGGCAAUUUCACUUACAUUUUCUCAGAUGAAGAAGUUAGACCAUAAAUGUGGUAGGGUUGGCAAAGACAUGGUGAAUGGGUAAGAACGUUUCAGGACCAUGACUGAAUGAACAUGUAUCUCCUCCUCACACCUGACCCUGGGGAAGACUCUGUG